AUGAAUUGUGCCUGGCCUGAAAGGAUGCUUAGAAAGACUCCUGGGGACAUCAGAAUUCCACUGGUAGAGAAGCAUCUCCUAAACCCUUUCAUCUGUAAAGGUUUCAAUUUAGUUGCUGUUUUAUUUUUUAUUUUAUUUUAUUUUUUUAGUUGCUGUUUUAAAUGCAAAGUCAUCGGGAUCAUCAUAUGCAGAGAAGGAAUGGAAAGACCACUGGGACCCCCGAGGGUAGGGCACGUCCACAAGGCAGAGUUCUCAUCUGGCUCUUACCCUGAAGAGAAGGAGGGUGAACCCGGGCUGUCCCCGAAUGGGAGCCACAGGCAGGUAAGCAGCCAGGUUUCUGCCCAUCGGGUACAUCUGCCUUCGGCAAACAUCCUUCCCCUGGUUCCCAUCUGUCUCCAUGGGCCAGACCCAGCUGGACUCUUCCUCUGUGAGCAGACAGAUGGUGGGUGAAUUCCUAAAUGACCACGGUUGAUUGCCUCCUCAGCUUAGGAGAGAAAGUGGUCACUGCUGAGAAGGGUCACACAGGGCUGACUGCAUCUCUGAGUGGGGUUAAUUCUUUUUGUUUUUAAUUUUUUAAAACUUUCCUUUUUU
Molecule: long non-coding RNA, 591 nt
Filed under: Capra hircus (goat)
Lineage: Eukaryota; Metazoa; Chordata; Mammalia; Artiodactyla; Bovidae
Description: lncRNA (ENSCHIG00010012294.1)
Source: RNAcentral